AAGCUCAAGCAGCUGCUCUUGAUGUCGUAGCUAAGUUUGGCACAAAGGCUGACUUGAAUACAUAUUUGAGUAAGCCAUUGUUGGAUGCUUGGAAAGAAGCUUGUGGUUCGACAACUCCAUCAACAAUUGUGAUUCCUGAAGGGACAUAUUUGUUAAGUCAAGCAACGCUAGAAGGUCCUUACAAGGCUCCUAUUGAGCUUCAACUUGAGGGCAAUGUAAAAGCACCAGCUGAUCCUAAAGCUUUCAAGGAGCAUAAAUGGGUUA
Molecule: long non-coding RNA, 264 nt
Organism: Hibiscus syriacus
Lineage: Eukaryota; Viridiplantae; Streptophyta; Magnoliopsida; Malvales; Malvaceae
Exons: 2
Source: RefSeq, a predicted model, not a curated record